Long non-coding RNA from Oreochromis niloticus (Nile tilapia), 1200 nucleotides. RefSeq lists it as uncharacterized. The record is from RefSeq and is a predicted model, not a curated record. The transcript is spliced from 3 exons. NCBI's taxonomy places the organism in Eukaryota, Metazoa, Chordata, Actinopteri, Cichliformes, Cichlidae.
CAUAACAUAUUUUAUUCAUACUGUUUAUUUUAAUUUUUUUUUAUUUUAAGACUGUGAAUUCCUAUAGACCCUCCCCUCCCCCUAAAAAAAGGGAAGACAACUCAGUGCUCAGUUUUGGAAACAGAUGCUUCCUAUGUUCCUCUGUAUGCUUGUACAGCUGUUUCGAGCUAACUAGGUUUUUAGAGGCUCUAAUUUAAGUUAAUUUUGCCUAUCUGGUCAACCCUAGCCCCCCUCCGGAAUUCGGUGGGUAGCCUAGCAGAGAAAACGGCAGGUGAAAAGGCUGCACACCGUGGCAGUCGGUUGGUUUCCACUGGUGAUGAAUAAAUAACGGGACAAAAGCAGCGUCGCGUCUGUCGCACAUAUCACAGCUGCUGUAUCGGGUAACCCAGGCGUCCACAAAUUUCACAAACUUGAUUUGGCUUUUCAGCAGAAUUACACACUUAUUUGUGUGAACGCACUUAUUGUAAUUUGUUAUGGAGCUUUCUGUAGGUGAAUCAGCUGCACUCCACAGCACUGAAUGAACCCACGUGGACUUAUUUGGCCUUAUUUUGACAUUCACUGUCAGCCUUUUUCAAAAAUUCGUUUUCCGUAGCGUUACAACUGACUUUCCUUUCUAGUCAUGUAAUGCAGAGAUUUCAAUUUCCCUUCUAUAUUUUCUGUCAGUUGUUUUCCUCCUCUCAUUUUGCAUUUUCCAUCACUGACUGACGGCCUCAGCUGCAGACGAGAGGAGAAAGCCAUCCGACAGCAGCAACCAACUCUAUCAUCUCCACUAGAGGGAGGGCUAUCUCACAACAAGGCCACCAAGGAGCUGCAUCUGAGGGUCAGCAUGUGGUGAGUCAGUAGAAGAGAGCCAGCGAGCGCCUGAUCUCCUCCGAGCGAGGCUUGUCAGCGUGGUCCUGAGUGGGCUGUGUGGAGCUUCUGUCAGAGAGUGUCACAUUUCCACGGCCCACACUGUGGCUCCUCUGUCCUCCUCAUGGCUGCAGCUCAAUGGGUCCUUUGAUGGGCCAACCCGAGGCCUUUCAUCAUGCAUCUCGCCACGGGGCACGGGGGCCAUGGGGGGUUGUGCCUCACAACACCUGGCAGACCGGAAAAGAACACGAUGAUGAGGGGCAGCGCUCAGACAUGGGGCAGUCACAAGACUGCGUAAGUACUUCAUCAAGUUGAUUAUAAGAAACUGUGAAUGUUAUAUUAAAAUCUGAU